This is a long non-coding RNA of Lagenorhynchus albirostris (white-beaked dolphin), 4054 nucleotides long. RefSeq lists it as uncharacterized. The transcript is spliced from 3 exons. The record is from RefSeq and is a predicted model, not a curated record. NCBI's taxonomy places the organism in Eukaryota, Metazoa, Chordata, Mammalia, Artiodactyla, Delphinidae.
CACCCACCACCUAGACUGUCCCUUGGCGUCCCCGGCUCAGAAGCCGGGCCGGACCCCGCAGCAGGCCCAGAGUCAGGCAGGAGGGGGCGGCGGUCGGGAGGCUUCAUUUCAGCAUGAGGACGCGCACGAACUCCUUGUAGCUCACCUGCCCGUCCCAGUCCACGUCAGCUUCCCGGAUCAUGAUGUCCAACUCCUCCUGGGACACCUCCAGCUGGGCCAUGGCCUGCUUGAGCUCAUCCAUGCUGAUGUGGCCGUCGCCAUCCAGGUCGAAGGCGUGGAAGGCUGUCCUCAGGUCAUCCGCUCUGACCCGAACCCCCUUGGCUAUCACUGCCAGGAACUCCUGGGAGCUGAUGACACCAUCCCCGUCCGCAUCGUCCCUGGCGAUGAACCCCUUCAGCGCGGCCUCCGACGGGUUCAGGCCCCGCUCCUGCAUCACGGCGCCCAGCUCCUGGGUGCUGAUGGCACUGUCUUUGUCCUUGUCGAAUCUGUGGAAGGUCUCCAUGAACUCGGCUGCCUGCUCUUUGGACAGCUGCUCAGCCAUGUCUCUCGCACCUUCUACAGAGCUUGCUGCCAACCCGCCCAAGGGGCUCACGUCAGAGCUGGGACAAGCGGUGGGACCGAGGCUGUGUCGGCGUGAGGACAGAGCUCCAGCGGCAGCCUUGCCACAGGAUGGGAACCCCUCCUUUGCUGAAAAUCCGAGCAAAGUGAGCAAGAAGACUCCUUCCCCACCCCACGUCCUAGGGUGAAAUCCUCCUCCCAGGGAGGGACAGCAGAGAAAUGCAGGAACUGGAGCGGCCGGUCUGCCCAGGAGAGGUGGCAGGCACCCCGGGCCUCACCUACUCCCGAUGGCCAACCACGGCACCCCAGAGGCUUUUGCCCAUGUGACUCCCACAGGGACCCUGGCCAAGCUGGGGAGGGGGGCUCAAGAGGGCUUUCCCAAUUUUAGAGACGGGUGGGAAGGGGAGAGGAGCCUCCCUCAGUGGACAUGGCAGACACUGGAGGAGUGGAAGGGCUGUGUCCAGCGUUCCUGUGCUCUCUCGGGGCUGCUGGCCAGCUCUCAUCCUAUGGGGCGGGGCUGGUGGAGGGCAGAUAGUGGUAGAAUUGAGUGGGAUUCUCCCAGAAUGGCACUGCGGGCGUCAUCGCCCUCCAGCCCAGUGUGGCUGGCAGAUCUUUAGGUGGGGAUGCGGCUGCCUGCCUUUUUGCUUCGGGAAAGCGGGGAGCCAGUUGCACGCAGAGCCUGGUGCACAGGUGGUGCUGAGAGUUGUUUAUUAGCUGAAUGUUCAAAGUGUGAUUUCAGAGCUGAGGAGAAGGCUUCCUGUCCCUGCAGAAUACUCCUCCUUUAGCUCCCUAGUUUCUCUGAUUCCGUUCUAUUAAGACUAGGGUUCUCUACAGAGACACCAGGAAGGAGGGGACCCUUCAUUUACGAUCUCAGAGGGGUCCUGCCUGGGAGCUGCGGGAAGACUGGAAAGCACUGGGCUGGAGUAGGCAGCCCCUGAAGAUGCCAGGGGGUAGGAGGAUGUAGAAUCGGGUGGCUGAAGCUGUGAACUUGGCCUGGCUCGUGGGUUUACUAAGUCAGCCCCAAGCACAGAAACCCGUUUAGGAAGCUCCCUGGACCCACGGUCUUACCUGUUUCAUCUCUGCCCACUGCUCUGUGUAGCAGAGUUUAGAUCAAGAGCUCGGGCCGUGGGGACCCUGCAGGAGGAGGGGCAUCCCCUUCCUGGAGGAUGUUGAGUCCCCUGCAGCUGUGACAGGACGGGUGACCCCCUCCAGGGCGGCUGGGCCAGUAGAGAUGGCGGGUGAUCGGGCUGCCCUCCCAGGAGCCCUGCUGGGCCCGCACCCUGAACACAGGGCUCCCACCGAGGCCACAGAGCAGGUGGUUGAUCACUGCCUUUGGACCCAGGAAGCUGUGGGUACGGGGCUGGCUCCCCGCAAGGCUGGGGCAGGUAACUUCGCCUCCCCUGUGGUAGAUGUCGGGUCCUGUUUCCCACCAGCCAUCUCAUGGUUCCCAAACUCACCCACCCUUAUUGUUAUCCCGCGUCUGAGCACCACCGCCCUGGGUCCCUUGAGCAUCUUGCUUCCAAAGCCUGUACAUAAGCCACAGAUACGUUUCCAGGUCUCUUCUUGGACAGAUGUUUAAUUAUUAAAACCAUCUACAUAUUUGCAGUGAUUAUCCAUCACUGCAGUUUUCCCAACCGCCGUGGUUCACGAUCUCACCAAUCCAGACGCCCUUUACCUCUCACCCCUAACUCGAAUCUCAGCCUUCUUUUUCCUCUGAUGGGAUUCACUCCUACACCCACCUCCUCUCGUAACUCUUUUACAUUCUAAGAAGUGGCCCUGAGGCUUUUGUCUUAUCUACACAGCUGGUGUGUCUCCUUUCCAUCCUCCCUCAUCAUAAGACCCUAGGAGCCCUUUCUAUGCCACCAUAGCUGUGGUCUCUCUGCCACAAUCCUGUCCAGCCAACAAGUUUCCUAGAAACAGAAUGUGUUUCUCAUACUGCUUCUUUCUUUAGGGAAAUUGCUCUUUCCUCCUCUGGAGCCUCGUACCAGCUUUAACUGGUCGACAGUGAGGGAGAGCUCUGUACACGAUACAACACGGCCCCUGGUAUUCUGCCACCCUCGGUGAUGGGUUGAUGAGGACCUUUUGCAUCUGUGUUCAGUGAUGUCAUUUGUCACCAGCUUUACCCUUUCCUUGGACAUCCAUCCCCGCCUGUCAACACCUCAUUGCCUAACUGCCUAACCAUAGCCACGCCUAUGCCUCUGCCCCAUUUAUCUGGGGGAGAGGGUGACGUUCAUAUUCACACCUGAGCUCCUGUGUGCCAGGUGCCAUGCAAAGGGCUCUAAAGGGUGAUCUCAUCUUGUCCUCACUGUUUAUUCCUAUGUUCCAGGUGAAGCAACUGAGGCUCAGAGAAGUCACAAAACAGGUUCAUGGAAGAGCCGGGAAUUUGCAUCUGGGUUUGCCUGACUGCAGAGCCCAACCCCUUCUGUCCCGCAUCACGCAUCACGGCACAGCUCAGCUUCUGAUAACCGACCUUCACACGCCAGCCGCUGAGGACAGCCAGGCCCUGCCCCCGCAGCCCUUGGAGCCCUGGUGAGAGCUGGCAGCCAGGCUCGACCACUCCAUCAACACCUGACUGCAUGAACCGUGGCAAAGCACGGGCACAGCUCUGCUCAGGGGCCUGGCUUUGCUCUGGUAGAAGGGCGGGGGCUGUGGAUUGAUGGUAAGACCACAGACGAGCCUGAAGGAGAUGUGUUUCAAUCCCCGCUCUCUGCCUCUCACCAAGUACCUGGCUGGGCGGCACAGCCCAGAUGAUGCUGGUUACCUGAUUUGAGUCAGUUUUACAGUUUAAAUUAGCUAACUGGGUCGAUGGAUUUGGUACACAGGCGGUUCUCAGGACUCCUCUAGGAAGCCCUUGGAAACAAUUUUACCGAGAACGCCCUCAUUUUGCAAUAUCCUUUCAGCAUCACCUGCCGCCGUCAGUAUUCAUUAAGUCUACCACUGUUCUCCUAUCUUCCGGAACAUUGUGUGACAAGCUGCCCUCUCAUUCUAGCUUGACCUCCUAUCUUGAGACCGUCGUCUCUGGCUCCGCCGAUUCCUUUGAACUUGAGGUUUUUCCCCUAAUUUUAUUCCAAUUUCUUCACCCGUGUUAGUAAUGGCUGUGCUUGCUGAACAGGUGGAAACAAUGCAGGUGUUUUGAAGAGGUCUAGCCUUUAACUCUCCUUUCAUAGCUUUCUUCACUUUUUAAAAGCAUGCCUGACCACUUUCUGGCAUCUUGAAAAGAGAGCGGAGCUUUUUCUCCUUCCUUGGUCCUCCGUUUUAUUAUAAUUUUAACAUCCUUCUGUUCUGUCCUGGCCGGAGUUCUCCUUGUCCUGCUCUCCACGCCCUCCCCCAGAUCCUGGCUUGACUCGCCUGCUUGAUUCCACAGCGCGCAGGAUCAGAAAAGGCAGGUGUUUGCUGUUACGUGAUUCUCUCUCUUUUUCUUGUUCGUAGAGCCUGUCAUUUAUACUGGCCCAUUUCCCUUGGAGUAUAUUCCAAGCUGUUAUCAUUUACAGUGAAA